UUUCUCAUUUAUCUGUUUAUUUAUAAUCAACAGGUACUACUGAUCUCUGUUGGUGUUUUUAUUGAAAAUUAAUAAGCAUGUGAUACAUUUUUUAUCAUUCUUCCUCAUGAUUUCUUUACUAUAUGAUUCUUCUCAUAUGUGGUACUUAAGAGUAGUUAAAGUCAUAGAAAACACCAAGUAGGAGAGUGUUUCCCAGGGGCUACAGGGAGAAUAAGGAGUUGUUUAAUGGGUACAGUUUCAGUUUCAAAAAAUGGAAUAUGCUUUUUAUAUAUGGAAAUGAUGGUAGCAAAAUAAUGAGUGUACUUAAUUCAUCUCAAUGGAAACCUUUAAAAUGGUUAAAAUAGUUAAUUUUAUGUGUAUUUUAACAUAAUGUAUAAAAUUAUUUUAAAUUUUUAUAUUAUUUUUUAAGAGACAGAGUCUUGCUCUGUUACCCAGAUGGGAGUGCAGGAGUGCAAUCAUUGCUUCCUGUAGCCUUGAACUUAUGGGCUCAACUGAUCUUUCUGCCUCAGUCUUCUGAGUAGCUGGAAUAGCAGACACAUGCCACCGUGCCUGGCUAAUUUUUAAUUUUUUUGUAGAGAGAGGGUCUCACUCUAUUGCCCAGGCUGGUCUAAAAUUCCCAGCCACAAGUGAUCCUCCCACCUUAACCUCCUAAAAUAUUUUAGGCUGAGCACGUUGGCUCAUGCCUGUAAUCUCAGUACUUACAUAUCUACAGCAGGAUUGAUGAAUAUUACAAAUAUGAUGUACAAAAGAAAGUAUAUGUAAAAGUAUACAUACUAUAUAAUGUCAUUUAUGUAAAAUCCAAAAAGAAUAUAAAAUUGAGGUUUUGGCUUUCAGUAAUAGUGGAGUAGCUUGUUGAACACUACUCUUACAAAUAAUGGUAAAAUCUGGAUACAAUGUCAUAUAUUAUAUAGAAACACACAUCUAUAUAUCAUACAUAUGAUAUAUGUGGGGAUAAGAAGCGAAUGAUAAUUUUAGCUGUGCCCACGGAAAGGGAGACAGGCAUUUGAAUUUGAAUCCAGCCAAAUUAACUCCCUCUUCAAAAACUAACAACACUCUUCAAAGGAAUACAACAGGAUCCAGAGUCUCUAUAAGUAUUAUUUACAGUUUUUAAAAUACAAUUUUAAAAUUUAAGAGACAUGAGAAGAAACACAAAAAUGUUAUCCAUACACAAGAUAAAACAUAGGCAUUAAAAGCUAUCCCCAAAAUGUCCAAGAUGUUGUUAUCAGCAGUCAAGUAUUUGAGAGCAGCUAUUAAAACUAUAGUCAUGGGGUGAAGAAAAAAAAUUCUCAUAAUGAAUGAAUACAUGUGGAAUCUCAGCAGAGAAAUGCACAUUAUUAAAAAGAACCAAAUAGAAAGAUAAUGAAAUUUUAAAUAGUACUUUUAGGUUGAUUCAUAGAUUAGAAAAAGACAGAACAAUUGAAAUUAUUCAAUCUGAAAAAAAGAGUAAAAAAAGUUUGAAGAAAAUGAACAGAGUCUUACAAUCUGUGGGCAGAUUGUGUCCUAGAAAGAGUGAAGGGACAGAAAAAUUAAAUGGGGUGCAAAAGUAACAAUAGCUGAAAACUUGCAAAAAUUUGUCAAAACCCCACAUUUUAUAUCCAAGCAGUCAACAGAUUCCAAAAAGAAAAUCCAAGUAAAAUCGUACAAAGGCCACAUUGUGAUUUAAGAAACUGGCAGGACAGGGCUUCCAAUUGACUUUCUAAAAUUUCUAAUUUUUACUAAUUAUAAUGAUGGAAAAUAGGUUAUCCUUGAGAGAUUUAUCUUGGAGAAAGUCUCACAUAUCAGGCACAGAUGACUAAGGGUUAUUAAAGGCAGAUGACUUUCUAGCCUUGUUUUAGAGUUUUAAUUUCUUACCUUGGAAAUAAAUUUGUUUCUUACAAAUCUUGUAGUAAAAGUGAUUCUCCAGAAAGAUGUGCCCAGGAUAUUCUCUCCUGCUGCAUCCUCCCUGCACAGAAUUGAAGCUGUGCGUACUUCAAUUUCAGAAAUGUACAAUAUGAAUUACUUAGUUAAUCUGAAAAACUAAAAGAAAAACAUGAAUUAAGGUAAUUACUUUUAUGUUCCUUCAGCAAAUUACUAAAAGUGGUUCCAGAGAUAUAUUUAAAAAUGAUUAUUAAAAGAGUUUUUAAGGGAGCCCUAUUCAGGGCAAAAAGACAUUGUACAUUACCUCAGUACACAAACUUUCCUAAUGUUUUGGGAAGGACCUAGGGUCCUGUUUUGUCCUUUUGGCCCGUGUUAACACUAGGACACCUGAUACCUGGGAACCAGCCUGUGUGGGAGUCACAGAGUGGUGGAUGUGGCUCCCAAAGUGGCUUAAAGGGGUCCCUUCUCUGUGCAGUUGAGUAUUCUGAUUGUACGAAGGAGUCAGGCCUUUCCCGUGUGACGUUUUCUCCUCUUUAUUACAGUGGCAGGCGCAUCCCUGCGAGAGGCCUGACCCAGGUGUGUAGGCCAAGCAGCCAGCCCGGAAAUCCAAUGGGGUGUUCUUGGGGUACAGAGGAGGAUCUGUGACAGUCCAGAGAGAGAGAAAGGAAAAGGUGGCUUUGAAGAGGCAAGUGCAAAGAUACCAGAGACGGGGUAUUGUCAUUUUAGGCAGUUAAUUGACGGUUUCACUUACCAGGGAGCUCCCAUCAUGGGCUCCCAAAAGGCCUGACAACUGCUAGGCCCACGGGCCAUUAGCUGCACCUUUACUGAGGGGCUGCACUAUGCAUGUCUGAAAGCCGCGUGGGACAGAGGAAGGGGCAGGGAUGAGGGAAAGGACGGGGUGAGGGAAGGAAGGGAGGGUAAACCUAACUACGGCAACCUUGAGCAGGCUGGAAGAGGCUUCCUCAGGUAGGGGUGAUGUCACAAUCACAGGUUGAGAUCAGCUGCCCGGGCCACGCUGGCUCCUCGCAGGCAGGCGAGAUUUGGGAACAGCCAGGAUCCCCUCCGCACGGGAGAACAGCUCUAGACGCGCAGAGGGGCGGAGUCCAAACGGGUGCCAUCACCGACCUGUCUACAAGCAACAUUGUAACAUAUUUCUGAGCCCAUCACAUGGAUAAUGUGACCCUUCUCUUUUUGUCCUGCCCCAAGUGAAGAUUGUGACAUGUCACCAGGCCCUUUGUCUAGGCAAUAUGACUCUUCUCUCCUGUCUGGGCCCUGAUUACAAGGGGGAUUGUGACAAUCACUGGGCCCAUCAUGUAGAUAAUAAGAGUUUCUCUUCCUGCCUGGGCCUUUUCUACAGAAAAGAUUAAGACAUCACUGGGCCAAGCACCCACAUGAUGUCACUCGCCUGCCUGCAUUCUGCCUACAGUGGGUAUUGUGACAUAUCCCUGGCACAGAACCAAGGUAACGUGACUCACCUACCUGGUUCCUGCCCACUGAUGGGAUUGUGACAUAUACCUAGGUCCAGCUCACAGGCAUGAUGAUAACUGUCAUACGUGGACCCAGCCAAUAAGAGAUUUUUGCUCUUAGGCUUAUUACAACAGAGUCUCGCUCUGUCACUCAGGCUGGAGUGCAGUGGCAUGAUCUCAGCCCGCUGCAACCUUCGCCUUCCAGGUUCAAGCAGUUCUCCUGCCUCAGCUCUUGGACAAAACUUCAGCACUCCUGCUAGGGUGUGUCUGCCCUACUAAGACACUGUGCGCAGGUGGAGUUGAGGCUCUUAUGUAUGGAUCCUGUCCACUGUUGAGAUUGUGAAUUGCAUGUGUAGACUCAACUCACAGGAGGUGUUGACUCACAAACCUCCAGCUGGGACAUGUGCAGGAUUAGAAAUUUUAUUUCUGGAUCUUUCUUCAGAAGGCGUUGUAACAUCUCACUAAGCCCAGCACUCAGGCGAUGUGGCUUUCCUGCUAUGGCACUGCACACAAGAAGAAUGUUGACAUAUUCCUGGCCCAGAAUUCAGGUGGAGAUGGAGCUCUCAUGCACGGAUCCUGUCCGAUGUUAAGACUGUGUCUCGUGUAUUUGGAUGCAACUCACAAGAGGUGUUGACUCUCAGACCUAAAGCUGGGAAAUAUGUAGAAUUGUGAAAUUUAUUCCUGGUCCUUCCCGCAGGUGUGAUUGUGGCGUAUAUGUUCACACAGCACUUAAUUUAUUUUACAAUUUGUUUGAACUCAGCCAACUGUUGGGACUGUGACAUAUACCUGGACCAAGUUCCUAGGUGAUGUAACUCUCCAGCCUGGGCCUUACCACAGGGUACAUUGUGACAUAUCUUUGGACUUAUCACCUAUGUGAUGUGACUCUACUGACUUGCCUUGUCUUGGCCUCCAUUGGGGAUUGUGGCAUAUUUCUGUGCCCAGUACCUAAGUUAUGUGACUCUUCUUUCCUGCUUGUGCAUUUAGAAGGGAUUGUGACAUAUUGCUGGGCCAAGAACCUAGGUGAUGUGACUCUCCUGCCUUGGCCCUGCCUUCAGGAAAAAUUGUGAUGUGACUCUGGGUUUAUUACCUAGAUGAUGUGACUCUUGUGUUCUGCAUGGGCAAGCCCAAAGGGGUCAUUGUGGCAUAUCUCUGGGCACAUCAAAGAAGUGGUGUAAUUUUUCUCUCAUUCCAGGACUCUAGUCUCAGUAGGGAUUGUGACAUAUCACUGGGCCCAUAACCUAUGUCAUGUGAUUCUAGUAUCCUGCUUGGGCCCUGCUUACAGGAAAGAUUGUGACAUUUGGCUGGGCCCAUCACCUAGUUAAUGUGACUCUCCUUUUCUUCCUGUGCCCUGCCCUCAGUGGAGAUUGUGACAAAUUUCUGGGCCAAUCAGCUGUGCAAUAUGACUCUGCUCUUUCCUGGGCCCUGCUAUCGGGGAGCAUUGUGACAUAUUGCCAGGCUCAGCACCUAGGUGAAAUUGUGGCAUAUACCUGGGUCCAGAUCACAGGCACAAUGAUGACUCUCUUACCUGGACACAGCCAGUGGGAAAUAUUUUGACUUUUGUAGCCAGGCUUAGGGCCACAGGUGGUUUGGUGACUCUCAAACCAUGAUUCAGCAGACCUGUGAGGCUGUGAGUUCCCUAUCAGAACACAAUCUGCAGGUUGUAUUGUGCCAUAUACCUGGGACCAAAUUACAAGCACAAUGAUGAAUCUUUUACCUGGAGUCAAGACAUGGGCAGGAUGAUGGAACUUAUCACUGGACCUUUCCACAGUGUUAUUGUGACAUAUGCCUUUGCCCAACAUGUGGUGAUUUGACUCCCCAGACUGGGUCCAGUUCACAAAUAAAAUUGUGCCGUAUACUUGGCCAAGAACCUAA
This is a long non-coding RNA of Homo sapiens (human), 5195 nucleotides long. RefSeq lists it as uncharacterized. The transcript is spliced from 8 exons. NCBI's taxonomy places the organism in Eukaryota, Metazoa, Chordata, Mammalia, Primates, Hominidae. The record is from RefSeq and is a predicted model, not a curated record.